UCUAAAGAUGCCUAAGUGAUUUUUAAGCUUUGGCCCAAAAAACAUGUUUACUGGUUAUGUUUGAGUGGGAGACAUUUGCACAGCAGCCCCCUCAUCGGGCUGUAGCUGGUACUGCACUCGCUGGUCUGCUCAUACUUUUUCCAUGUAUAGUUAAUCACUUCCACAUGGUCCCCAUAACAAAGGUAGAUUGUCUGCAGGAGAUGUCGGCUAAUGGGAUACACAAAUAAGCUGAUAAAACCAAAAGAAAUUGUUGUGGAAACUGAAGAGGAAGAUCUUACCAGACAGGACGAAAACUGUUCAUUUCUUGAUAAUGAAGAGGGGGUCUUUACAACCGCUGAGGAGGAAGCAAUCCCACCCCCAAGAGACUGAAACGACUUUCAAAAGAAGAGGAGGUAUCCUUAGGAGAUCGUGCAAAGGUAAAGCUGCACAGAAAAGAAAAACCUGGGAAGAGAAAGAGGGGAAGGCUGUCGAGAAGCACAUGAAGCGAUUCAUCCCUUCUGAUAUUUUAUCAGCAAAGAGUGACUGUUUAAAAUGUUUGAGGGCUGAACCGGAAGCUCUCCAAAAACGGGAAUGGCAAGCAUUUAAGUUAUAUGUGUACAACCUCAUUAAGGCCUACAAAAGGAGAUUGCAGGUAAAAUAGUAGAAUACGAGAUAGUAGACUGGUUAAGUAGAACAGUUUUUAUGUUCUUUAUGUUCAAUGUUGUUAAA
Molecule: long non-coding RNA, 708 nt
Organism: Nerophis ophidion (straightnose pipefish)
Lineage: Eukaryota; Metazoa; Chordata; Actinopteri; Syngnathiformes; Syngnathidae
Exons: 4
Source: RefSeq, a predicted model, not a curated record